Rhipicephalus microplus (southern cattle tick) is the source of this 483-nucleotide long non-coding RNA. The record is from RefSeq and is a predicted model, not a curated record. NCBI's taxonomy places the organism in Eukaryota, Metazoa, Arthropoda, Arachnida, Ixodida, Ixodidae.
CUAUGCCUGCCUUGCUUGUAGGUGCAUAGAGCUGUCGCGAACAAAACGGCGACGGCAAUUUCAUGACGUGCUAGGAAGUACUGCUGUUACAAUCGCAAAACUAGUCUUGUACUACCAUUGAGCAUCAGGCAUUCUGCAUAUAUAAUGAUGAAAGCAGGCAUUUUUAUAGCAUGGAACGUCUUCGGACUCUGUCUAACUAUGUUUGAUGUAUGUACAGUUAAUGGAGACAAUACCACUCAAACGCAAGAGCUCGACGCUUUCCAGCUGUUUGCUUUGUUUCCGAUGCGGCAGGAGUGAAAGAUGUGAACCGAGAACCCCUGUUUAACUGCUUAAGAGCAAACCGUACAGAAUUUGACUACCAAGCGCCUUCUGCUACUUACCUUUGGUCGCUGAAUGCAGGUGAGGGAAAGCCAAGGAAUUAUGUCCCAGUGCAUUAUACAGCAGGCAAGACCCCCAGCACAUUUUUCACAUCAUUCAACUCGG